UACGGAGGAUGCGAGCGUUAUCCGGAUUUAUUGGGUUUAAAGGGUGCGCAGGCGGGAGAUUAAGUCAGCGGUGAAAUUUUGCAGCUCAACUGUAAAAGUGCCUUCGAAACUGGUUUCCUUGAGUGUAGAUGAAGUAGGCGGAAUUUGUGGUGUAGCGGUGAAAUGCAUAGAUAUCACGAGGAACUCCGAUUGCGCAGGCAGCUUACUAAACUACUACUGACGCUCAGGCACGAAGGCGUGGGGAUCAAACAGGAUUAGAUACCCGU
Molecule: ribosomal RNA, 266 nt
Filed under: uncultured prokaryote
Description: partial 16S ribosomal RNA
Rfam family: Bacterial small subunit ribosomal RNA
Source: RNAcentral